UACAGAGGGUGCAAGCGUUAAUCGGAAUUACUGGGCGUAAAGCGCGCGUAGGUGGUUGUGUAAGUUGGAUGUGAAAGCCCCGGGCUUAACCUGGGAACUGCAUUCAAAACUGCACGGCUAGAGUACGGGAGAGGGGGGUAGAAUUCCAGGUGUAGCGGUGAAAUGCGUAGAGAUCUGGAGGAAUACCGAUGGCGAAGGCAGCCCCCCUGGCCUGAUACUGACACUGAGGUGCGAAAGCAUGGGGAGCAAACAGGAUUAGAACCGUACCGU
Molecule: ribosomal RNA, 270 nt
Filed under: uncultured bacterium
Lineage: Bacteria
Description: partial 16S ribosomal RNA
Rfam family: Bacterial small subunit ribosomal RNA
Source: RNAcentral